Molecule: ribosomal RNA, 492 nt
Filed under: uncultured bacterium
Lineage: Bacteria
Description: partial 16S ribosomal RNA
Rfam family: Bacterial small subunit ribosomal RNA
Source: RNAcentral
AGUGAACGCUGGCGGUAGGCCUAACACAUGCAAGUCGAACGGCAGCACAGUAAGAGCCUGCUCUUACGGGUGGCGAGUGGCGGACGGGUGAGGAAUACAUCGGAAUCUACUUUUUCGUGGGGGAUAACGUAGGGAAACUUACGCUAAUACCGCAUACGACCUACGGGUGAAAGCAGGGGAUCUUCGGACCUUGCGCGAUUGAAUGAGCCGAUGUCGGAUUAGCUAGUUGGCGGGGUAAAGGCCCACCAAGGCGACGAUCCGUAGCUGGUCUGAGAGGAUGAUCAGCCACACUGGAACGGAGACACGGUCCAGACUCCUACGGGAGGCAGCAGUGGGGAAUAUUGGACAAUGGGCGCAAGCCUGAUCCAGCCAUACCGCGUGGGUGAAGAAGGCCUUCGGGUUGUAAAGCCCUUUUGUUGGGAAAGAAAAGCAGCAGGUUAAUACCCCGCUGUUCUGACGGUACCCAAAGAAUAAGCACCGGCUAACUUCGUG